UCGGACAUUGGCUCGCUGUCCACACUGCAGAAAAGUUUCAUCGAUUGGCCAGAGGUACCCUAGAAAGCGGAGUUUGAUAUGUUUCCUGCUGUGCUUGAUCUGCAUUAUAACGACUGCAGGAUUGAUUGCUGGCACGUGGUGGAAGGCACUGAAAUAUAAGGGGAUUUAUGCCUCCUGGGUAUUUUUCAUUCUCCUGGUGCUGAUCACUUUGGUCCGAGCUUUACAUUGGGCCUGCAUGAAAAUCAGUGAACCGCUGCACAACUACUCAUCAUAGGAGUGAUGAAUGUGGAGGAGGAAGGGGUAGAAAUUAAGUGUAAGAGACGAGAAUAAAGAGAAAACAGAGCAAAAAGAUUUUAAUAAAGUGAUGCUCUGUCAGGAAAACAUCCAAGUCAUAUUUCACCCCAAAAUCAAUGCAAAAAAAAAAGUUUAAUUU
Sinocyclocheilus anshuiensis is the source of this 433-nucleotide long non-coding RNA. RefSeq lists it as uncharacterized. The transcript has 3 exons. The record is from RefSeq and is a predicted model, not a curated record. NCBI's taxonomy places the organism in Eukaryota, Metazoa, Chordata, Actinopteri, Cypriniformes, Cyprinidae.